GGGCAAGAACUGUCUUAUGGUUAAUAUCCCUGAUACUUGACGGUACCCCUAAAGGAAGCACCGGCUAACUCCGUGCCAGCAGCCGCGGUAAUACGGGGGGUGCAAGCGUUGUUCGGAAUUAUUGGGCGUAAAGGGCGUGUAGGCGGUCUGAUUAGUCUGAUGUGAAAGCCCUGGGCUCAACCCAGGAAGUGCAUUGGAAACUGUCACACUUGAAUUCUGGAAAAGGUAGUGGAAUUCCUAGUGUUAGAGUGAAAUCCGUAAAUUUUAGGAAGAACACCGGUGGCGAAGGGGGAUACCUGGACCGAUUUUGACCCUUAAACGCCAAAGCGUGGGUAACAAACAGGAUUAAAUUCCCUGGUAGUCCACGCCGUAAACGAUAAGUACUAUGUGUGGCGGGUAUUGACCCCUGCAGUGCCGUAGCUAACGCAUUAUGUACUCCGCCUGGGAAGUACGGCCGCCAGACUGAAACUCAAA
Molecule: ribosomal RNA, 474 nt
Filed under: uncultured prokaryote
Description: bacterial SSU rRNA
Rfam family: Bacterial small subunit ribosomal RNA
Source: RNAcentral